GCCGUCAGUGCAGGAUAAGAAUCCUGUUGUUAAAAAGCUUAACUUUCUUACAUUGGGUCCAAACUGUCCCUGUAUAUGAGAAUGUUACUAUAAUAUUAAUCUGUAACCCUUUUAAGGUGGGUGUUCUCCAUCUAAACUCGUGUUCCAAGUUCGUCACUGAACCCGUCUCCAGGGCGUGUCCGUUUCGUUUGUUGUGCUUGUUAUCAUUCUCCUUCCAUGUCGCGACAGCUCUAUAAUUACGUAUAUAUUUAUAAAUUCGUAUUUGGCGUGAGAUAGGGGCGUGGUAGCGCUCGGGACAGUUUCUUGUCGCCAGUUUUCUGGAGCCGCUUGUCCAGUGAGCGUGUCCGAGAUGCCGAACCACGAGACCACUAGUCUCAUCGCCACCUAUCUCAUCCUGGUGCUGCUCCUCGCCAGCCUCUGGCUGCUCUACUCCGGAAUGUUCUGAGGUGCUACAUUACCAUCAAGAUGUUCUCAAAACAAUACAACAAAUGAGACCAAUGACAUUUAACAAAAUGGCGGAAAGAAAAACGCUAUAAAAUUAAAUAAUUAUAGAAACCGUAAUUUUAGUAUUUAAGCUAUUUUAAGAAAUGUCGUUAUACACCCAAGCAUUUAUAAAAACCUUCGGAUUAUCCGGUGUAAGCUCAAUGCAAAUACAAAUAUUUAGGGCGUCGUGGAAUAAACCAACUAAGUCAGUGCCGGGCAUUCCAAAUGUAAUUAAAAAAGUUUAAAGACAACCAUUUCUCGUCAACAUGACAGCCGUACGUAGGUUAUUGUGUGCAACUCAUCCUUGAAUGUUAUCGUUAUGAACUAAGGGAAAUUUGUAAUAAACUUGUUUUUAUUG
Danaus plexippus (monarch butterfly) is the source of this 841-nucleotide long non-coding RNA. RefSeq lists it as uncharacterized. The record is from RefSeq and is a predicted model, not a curated record. Lineage: Eukaryota; Metazoa; Arthropoda; Insecta; Lepidoptera; Nymphalidae. The transcript is spliced from 2 exons.